UUGGAGGGCAAGUCUGGUGCCAGCAGCCGCGGUAAUUCCAGCUCCAAUAGCGUAUAUUAAAGUUGUUGCAGUUAAAAAGCUCGUAGUUGAAUUUCGGGAUCAAUGGGUUGGUCAUGCCCUCGGUAUGUACUGAUUUCAUUGGUUCUCACCUUCUAAGGAACCAUGAUGUCAUUUAUUUGAUGUUGUGGGAAAUUAGGACUGUUACCUUGAAAAAAUUGAGUGUUUAAAGCAGGCUAACGCUUGAAUACAUUAGCAUGGAAUAAUGAAAUAGGACAUCCGAUUCUAUUUUGUUGGUUUCUAGGAUCGAUGUAAUGAUUAAUAGGGAUAGUUGGGGGCAUUAGUAUUCAAUUGUCAGAGGUGAAAUUCUUGGAUUUAUUGAAGACUAACUC
Molecule: ribosomal RNA, 389 nt
Filed under: Glomus sp.
Lineage: Eukaryota; Fungi; Glomeromycota; Glomeromycetes; Glomerales; Glomeraceae
Description: SSU rRNA
Rfam family: Eukaryotic small subunit ribosomal RNA
Source: RNAcentral